Molecule: ribosomal RNA, 474 nt
Filed under: Encarsia inaron
Lineage: Eukaryota; Metazoa; Arthropoda; Insecta; Hymenoptera; Aphelinidae
Description: eukaryotic LSU rRNA
Source: RNAcentral
GAGAAACCCAAAAGAUCGAAUGGGGAGAUUCAUCGUCAGCCGCUUUGGCUUCCGUGUGAACGCGAUGAUCGGGGCUUCGGCUCUGCGUCACGCGUUUGCUGCGGCAUGUCUGGAGUGGUCGGCGUGCACUUCUCCCCUAGUAGGACGUCGCGAUUCGUUGGGUGUCGGUUUACGGACCGGUAGGUCGCCUGGCGUAUCUCGUUCACGCGAGUAUGUGUCAGACCUCUGGAUUCCCAACCGGCUGCCCGGCGGUAUAAAACGAUAAUUAAACGGUAUUGGGCCGCAUUGAAUGCGUUCAGGCUCGUAGGGAGGCUUGUCUCGCUCGGAUUUACGGACCUAGUGCCGUUGCCGGGUGCUUGGCGAACUGUGGCUUGCGAUGUCCUCGGACUGGCUCUUGAAUAUUCUUACGAAUAUACCGAUCGGCGACGCUACUGCUUUGGGUACUUUCAGGACCCGUCUUGAAACACGGACCAA